This 465-nucleotide ribosomal RNA is filed under the name Triticum aestivum (bread wheat). RNAcentral describes it as "partial small subunit ribosomal RNA". Lineage: Eukaryota; Viridiplantae; Streptophyta; Magnoliopsida; Poales; Poaceae. The record is from RNAcentral.
AUGAAUCUCAUCAGUUGGAACUGCCGGGGCGGGGGGAACUCUCGGACUGUUCGAGAAAUUGUGACGCUCUCGCAGUCGCACUCCCCCAUGUUGGUUUUCCUUUGCGAUACCAGACAAAAAGCAACAAAAAUGAGAAGAAUCUGUGGACGCCUCGAAUUGAAAUGUUUUGACGGGGUGGACAGUAAUGGUUUGAGUGGUGGCCUAGCUCUUUUCUGGCAUGAGUCUUGUGUGGUUGAAAUCCUAGACGAGGAACGGUAUAUCGAUGCUCUGGUGAAGGUACAUGCAGAUGCAGAACAGUGGAGAGUCACCUUUGUUUAUGGUGAACCACGAGUGGAGAAUCGCCACCUCAUGUGGGCCAAAUUACAGGGUCUAACGAGUGUGUGUGAUAGGCCUUGGCUUGUUCUUGGUGAUUUUAAUGAAGCUCUUUGGGAUUUCGAACACCUGUCGGCUACCCCUAGACCGUAA